This 392-nucleotide ribosomal RNA is filed under the name uncultured bacterium. RNAcentral describes it as "partial 16S ribosomal RNA". It matches the Rfam family "Bacterial small subunit ribosomal RNA", at positions 523 to 918 of the family's 1533-position model. The record is from RNAcentral.
AUACGGAGGAUCCGAGCGUUAUCCGGAUUUAUUGGGUUUAAAGGGUGCGCAGGCGGCCAUUUAAGUCAGCGGUUAAAUCGUGGGGCUCAACCCCAUUCUGCCGUUGAUACUGGGUGGCUUGAUUGCGGUCGAGGUUGGCGGAAUUCGUUGUGUAGCGGGGAAAUGCAUAGAUAUGACGAAGAAACCCGAUUGCGUAGGCAGCUGACCAGACCGCAAAUGACGCUCAUGCACGAAAGUGCGGGGAUCGAACAGGAUUAGAUACCCUGGUAGUCCGCACAGUAAACGAUGAAUACUUGUUUUCGGCGAUAUAAUGUCGGAGGCAAAGCGAAAGCGAUAAGUAUUCCACCUGGGGAGUACGCCGGCAACGGUGAAACUCAAAUGAAUUGGCGGGG